AGCCAACAUACUACAACUAAAGCAUUUGCCAAGGAUGUUUUCAUUGAUCAGGAGCGAAAGUCAGAGGUUCGAAGACGAUCAGAUACCGUCCUAGUUCUGACCAUAAACGAUGCCAACUGACGAUCCGUGGUGGCGAUUAUGCCCCGGCGGGCAGUCCCCGGGAAACUUAAGUCUUUGGGCUCCGGGGGAAGUAUGGUUGCAAAGCUGAAACUUAAAGGAAUUGACGGAAGGGCACCACCAGGAGUGGAGCCUGCGGCUUAAUUCGACUCAACACGGGAAAACUCACCCGGCCCGGACACUGUGAGGAUUGACAGAUUGAUAGCUCUUUCUUGAUUCGGUGGUUGGUGGUGCAUGGCCGUUCUUAGUUGGUGGAGCGAUUUGUCUGGUUAAUUCCGAUAACGAACGAGACUUUGGCCUGCUAAAUAGUCGCCUGGUCCUCUUGCUCGUGCAGGUGGCGAACAUUGCCUCUCGGGGUAGUGUUUCGUUUGGCCGCGCGGGUGCGGGCAGGUGUUACUCUUAGAGGGACAGG
This 529-nucleotide ribosomal RNA is filed under the name Astiotrema sp. LV40. RNAcentral's name for it is "SSU rRNA". It matches the Rfam family "Eukaryotic small subunit ribosomal RNA", at positions 930 to 1423 of the family's 1831-position model. The record is from RNAcentral. Lineage: Eukaryota; Metazoa; Platyhelminthes; Trematoda; Plagiorchiida; Plagiorchiidae.